This is a long non-coding RNA of Onychomys torridus (southern grasshopper mouse), 3155 nucleotides long. RefSeq lists it as uncharacterized. The record is from RefSeq and is a predicted model, not a curated record. NCBI's taxonomy places the organism in Eukaryota, Metazoa, Chordata, Mammalia, Rodentia, Cricetidae. The transcript is spliced from 12 exons.
CACAGUGUGUUGUUCUGUGGCCUGCAAGGCCAAAGGGCAGAGAGAAUGGCCCAGCAUCCUCUGCCCAGGGCUGACGGCACCUGAGUGAGCCUGGAGUGAAGUUCCUUGGUGUUGGUGACCUGCAUGAGAUCGCCCCAGGCCCAAGUGUGUUGUUCUGUGGUCUGCAAGGCCAUAGGGCAGAGAGAAUGGCCCAGCAUCCUCUGCCCAGGGCUGACGGCACCUGAGUGAGCCUGGAGUGAAGUUCCUUGGUGUUGGUGACCUGCAUGAGAUCGCCCGAGGCCCAAGUGUGUUGUUCUGUGGCCUGCAAGGCCAAAGGGCAGAGAGAAUGGCCCAGCAUCCUCUGCCCAGGGCUGACGGCACCUGAGUGAGCCUGGAGUGAAGUUCCUUGGUGUUGGUGACCUGCAUGAGAUCGCCCCAGGCCCAAGUGUGUUGUUCUGUGGCCUGCAAGGCCAAAGGGCAGAGAGAAUGGCCCAGCAUCCUCUGCCCAGGGCUGACGGCACCUGAGUGAGCCUGGAGUGAAGUUCCUUGGUGUUGGUGACCUGCAUGAGAUCGCCCGAGGCCCAAGUGUGUUGUUCUGUGGCCUGCAAGGCCAAAGGGCAGAGAGAAUGGCCCAGCAUCCUCUGCCCAGGGCUGACGGCACCUGAGUGAGCCUGGAGUGAAGUUCCUUGGUGUUGGUGACCUGCAUGAGAUCGCCCCAGGCCCAAGUGUGUUGUUCUCUGGCCUGCAAGGCCAAAGGGCAGAGAGAAUGGACCGGCAUCCUCUGCCCAGGGCUGACGGCACCUGAGUGAGCCUGGAGUGAAGUUCCUUGGUGUUGGUGACCUGCAUGAGAUCGCCCGAGGCCCAAGCUCAACAUGAAUUCAUCACUGGAAAGUACAAAGAAUGAUAGUGAAUAUAAAAAGGCUAAUACCAAACUUCAAGACUCAGUGGGAACCAUCACAAGGACAUUUUCUUUUCCCUUAAGACUUCCUAUAUGGGAACUAUGUAUUGAGACUGAUGAAAAUGCUCUUCCGUAUUGUUGUGAUGAAGUGAAGUUUGAUUCUCCUGAGAUAUAUCUUGCCUGAACAUUACUGAGUCCUCAGAAGGAUGGCUAGAGAACAUCACUCUUAAUAGUAGGUUAGAGAGUCAUGAUUGAAGAGAUGUUGAUGAGAAGGGGCAUGCUACUGCUUGGAAGUCUUACCAAGAAGCCCCAAAGUAGCAAGCUUUGUGGCAAACAGUAGUUAUAGAAGGUUUGUUUCUAUCUCCAUAUAGAGGGGUGAUUAUGAAGUUCAGCUGUCAAAGAAUCAUUUAUGAAGACUUACUCCAGGAAUUUCUUCAGAGAAUGACUAAGAGCAGGAAAUAUCUGAAAGAAGACUCCUCAGACCAAGAUCUCUUCACCAUAUGUUAUACAAAAGCCAUACACUGAAGAUGAUACCAGCUGUGAUGAGGUGGGAACAUUAAACAGAUGGUGCCAUCUCUUCUACCAGCAGAUUCACCAAGAAAGUCUUCACUAUACAUGCUGAUGCCUCUUUCCUGUGUAGCAGCAGAUACCACCUGCAGAUAAGAAAUGCUUAACUGAGAAAUGCUCAUGUUGGGAUAUCAUCGAUGAAACUUUAAUUUGGGCAUGGUGACUGUUUCCCUUGCUGCCACUUGACUCAAUCCCAGGAGCCUCAGUAGAGGAAAUAAUAUUGCACAAGAAGCUCAAAAUGGUGGAAAUAUUCAGUGCUCCUAUAAAUAUACACUGCUAAUUUUAAAAAAUAUGAGAUAUUAAAAAAGAACUGCAUGAUUUUUUUUAAAAAAAUCUCAAAGUAUACUUAUAUGAUUAAUACGUAAAUUAUGGGCCUUCUCUCUUUCAAGAGAGUUGAAAGUUUCCUACAGUUUCCCCCCAUUAAGGAAGGGUUAUACAUGCUCUUAAGCAGAUAAAUAUAUGCAAAAAUAUGCAUACUUUCUGGAGGGACUUCUAGCAGUGGGGCCAUAUUGCAUAUUAUGCAAAUUGCUACUUUUACUUACGAAUCUUUUUGAUGAGCUUUUCUGUUUCAGUAAUACAUUCUUAUCUAUGUCAUUUUUUGAAUGACUGCAUGACUGCUUUGUAGAUGAAAUAGAAUUAAAUGUUUUAAGCAUUGCCCAUUCAUAGACAUUUAUGUAGGUGCCAAAUUUCUGUGCAAUGAACUAACAUAUAUAAAUAUAAAUAUAUAUAUAUGUAUGUAUAUACACACAUACAUAUAUAUUAUCAAUAAUUCUGUAUUUGUCUCCUCUAUUAUAGUAAAAUUACCUAGUACUUAAAUUAUUAAAAUUAUUAAAACUGAGAAUACAUUAACACUUAAUUAUUUUAAAUUGUCACAAUUUCUUUUAAAUGUGCUCAAUAGCUUCCUCCUCAAGAGCAAUGCCUUAGAGUACCAUCCUCAUAAUCCACAUACAAUGGAUUUUACAAAUAUUUGAAAUCUUUUCCAAUGUGUUAGUCCAACCUAUUGUCUUAAAUUGUAUUUAUUUUAUUUUUGAGUUUGAUCAUUUUCAUGUUUAUUAGCCAUCUGUAUUUUUUUAUUUCUUCUUUAUGUCAAAGUUUGAGAGUAUGUGGAGGUUUUAGUCUCUUUUAAAGAUCAUAUUUACAGUUGGGGAAAAAUAAGAUUUUGGAUUGUCAAACAUUACAUGUUUUUCACACUUUUGAACUUUGUUUUGUUAUAAGAAUGUGUAUAAUUGUUACAUGUCCAACUAUAACCAUGUUUACUUUUAUGGCUUCUGAGUUUCAUGUCAUUUUUGAAAAAAUAUAUAUAUUCUGAGCCCAUAAAGCCCCUCCCCUUUGUUAAUACUAAUUCUUUUGUGUUUUUUAAUUCAAAUUCUAUGUCAUGAAAAGAAUUUUGUUUUAAAAUCUUAAAGUUGCAAGUUAUUUGCCAUUACUUAUGAUUAUUUGCCAAUAAUUGCCCAUUUAUCUGUAAUACCAUCUUGCACAUGUGCUGUAUUCAUCCAUGAAUGGCUCCAUUUUUGUCCUGUGGGUAUGUGCGUCUCUUCUUCCGCUUCCUGUCUCAUGUGUCUUCUUGUUGGAAGAAAUUACAGUUUAGACUGCAAUUUCAUCAACCUUAAUAAAUUAAUCUGGGGAAACUGUUUUUAAAUAAUAUUGUCUUCAUAAUUAAGGACAAGGUAUGUCUCUUUUAUUAAACAUUUGAUUACUGUUUAUAUUUUCA